This 444-nucleotide ribosomal RNA is filed under the name uncultured prokaryote. RNAcentral's name for it is "partial 16S ribosomal RNA". The record is from RNAcentral.
CCCUACGGGGCGGGGAAGGGGCCGCAGAAACUGGUCAAGGCGACGGAGAUCAUGCGGCAGCACGGGUUCACGAUUGACGAGGACGUGGUGGACGCCGCGAUCAAGCGGAUGUUUGAGGGCGCGAAGGGAAAUGGGCAGACGCAGACGACGGCGUAAAAAAAAUCCUGAAAGCAGCGCCCGUUGAGAUGAUCUCAACGGGCGCUCUUGAUCGUGUUGAAAUGAGGCUACAAACCAUUAUUAAUCGCACGUUCGCUUGAGUUUUUGACAGAAGAAUGUUAAGAUAGGAACGGAUGUUCGAUUAAAGAGGAGGCUGCGAUGCCCAUGAAGAUCAACGAUCAUGAGAUAGAAUUGCACUAUGGGGACGCGCUGGAAGUGAUCCCGCACUUAGGCAAAGUAUUUUCGGCGGUCAUCACCGAUCCGCCAUAUUCGAGCGGUGCGGAGAGC